Molecule: non-coding RNA, 23 nt
Filed under: Rattus norvegicus (Norway rat)
Lineage: Eukaryota; Metazoa; Chordata; Mammalia; Rodentia; Muridae
Source: RNAcentral
CCUUGCACACAGCACCUCUGGAU